GACGAACGCUGGCGGCGUGCCUAAUACAUGCGAGUAGAACGCACAGUUUAUACCGUAGCUUGCUACACCAUAGACUGUGAGUUGCGAACGGGUGAGUAACGCGUAGGUAACCUGCCUGGUAGCGGGGGAUAACUAUUGGAAACGAUAGCUAAUACCGCAUAAUAUUGAUUAUUGCAUGAUAAUUGAUUGAAAGAUGCUAUUGCAUCACUACCAGAUGGACCUGCGUUGUAUUAGCUAGUAGGUGAGGUAACGGCUCACCUAGGCGACGAUACAUAGCCGACCUGAGAGGGUGAUCGGCCACACUGGGACUGAGACACGGCCCAGACUCCUACGGGAGGCAGCAGUAGGGAAUCUUCGGCAAUGGACGAAAGUCUGACCGAGCAACGCCGCGUGAGUGAAGAAGGUUUUCGGAUCGUAAAGCUCUGUUGUAAGAGAAGAACGGGUGUGAGAGUGGAAAGUUCACACUGUGACGGUAUCUUACCAGAAAGGGACGGCUAACUACGUG
RNAcentral lists this ribosomal RNA (505 nucleotides) under uncultured bacterium. RNAcentral's name for it is "partial 16S ribosomal RNA". It matches the Rfam family "Bacterial small subunit ribosomal RNA", at positions 28 to 507 of the family's 1533-position model. The record is from RNAcentral.